GCCGGGGUGGCGAAAUGGCAGACGCACUGGAUUCAAAAUCCAGCGGUGGUAACACCGUGAGGGUUCGACUCCCUCCCCCGGCA
RNAcentral lists this transfer RNA (83 nucleotides) under Verrucomicrobiota bacterium. RNAcentral's name for it is "Verrucomicrobia bacterium (marine metagenome) tRNA-Leu". It matches the Rfam family "tRNA". From Rfam's summary of the family: Transfer RNA (tRNA) molecules are approximately 80 nucleotides in length. Their secondary structure includes four short double-helical elements and three loops (D, anti-codon, and T loops). Lineage: Bacteria; Pseudomonadati; Verrucomicrobiota. The record is from RNAcentral.